CGCGCAGGUGGUUGAUUAAGUCUGAUGUGAAAGCCCACGGCUUAACCGUGGAGGGUCAUUGGAAACUGGUCGACUUGAGUGCAGAAGAGGGAAGUGGAAUUCCAUGUGUAGCGGUGAAAUGCGUAGAGAUAUGGAGGAACACCAGUGGCGAAGGCGGCUUCCUGGUCUGUAACUGACACUGAGGCGCGAAAGCGUGGGAGCAAACA
Molecule: ribosomal RNA, 206 nt
Filed under: uncultured bacterium
Lineage: Bacteria
Description: partial 16S ribosomal RNA
Rfam family: Bacterial small subunit ribosomal RNA
Source: RNAcentral